RNAcentral lists this long non-coding RNA (1211 nucleotides) under Coturnix japonica (Japanese quail). RNAcentral's name for it is "lncRNA (ENSCJPG00005017779.1)". Lineage: Eukaryota; Metazoa; Chordata; Aves; Galliformes; Phasianidae. The record is from RNAcentral.
UGCUGUUUCCUGCAAAUAAAAGCCAUGCAUUCGCACAUCCUGCACCCCCAACACGCCAUGCCAAGCACAUAAACGCCCGCACGCUGCAAGCUCAUCUGACUGCGUGCCAUCUUUAUGAAUCAGAUAUUGAGCUGUUGAUUUCUCCCCUUGGAAUUUUAAGCAGUGCUCCCACCCGCUCACAGGAAGGUUCAGGUAAGGGAGCAAGGGGAUGGUUGCAGCUCCAAGCAAAGCCCCUCCCCAGCACUGAGGAUGGGGUGCAGAGGAGCUCUGGGACCUCAGAGCAUGUUCACACCUUCCUAUGGCACAGCCCAGUGUGCCACCACCACCGCCAAAGGGAAAUCACAGCGCACUGUCUGUGAGGAGGAGUGAAAAUCUGGACAGAGUGGGCAAGCUCAGCACACUGCCUUCCAAGUGCCUUCAGUGUGUCUGGCUUUAACUCCAGCUUAGAAGAGAAGAGCUGGAGUGGGAAGAUGCUGCAGCAAUAGGACACCGCAGCACUGAACCCAUGAGGACAUCUGGUCCAACUGCACUGCAGAGAACUGCUCCGAACUGAUGCGUUUCAUCUACCACAGCUCUUCAGGGAAAGGAAGAGCACAGAAAUCCAACAGCCUCACAUAUCCCAGCUUGGCUUCUUUCUCUGCUGUGUAAGCAGCCAACCACCCUUCAGGCAGAUGGAAAGGGCAGCUCCCCAUGGCAGCACCUCUCUGUGCCCAGAAGAGAUGGGCCAAAGCACAAGCUCUUGAUUUAAAUCAAGAAAAUCACAGUGGCUUCUGGGGAGUUCAGUCCCAGAGCUGAAGGGAAAAAUCAGUGAGAAAAGGUCAACUUUCUAUUAGUUCAAAUCAAGCUCUCAAACCCUGAGACCCCAACACUCACCCAAAAGAUGGAUGGGGCUGAAAUUCAAUGCUACUUAUGAAUUCUGUGCUUUCAAUCUAUGUUUUCUUGUUUUGAUUUGCAGUAUUUAAACACACCUCUUUGGAGGGUGGCACACAAGUUUAGAUCUCCAAGCUGAGUAUUUUCAUUCAUCCCUUUUUUCUUCUUUCCUUCCUUUUGAAGGACUCUGUAGAGAGACCUGAUCAGGGAAACAGCAACAAAUGCAAAGCCUGACCUCCAUUAGUUUUAUUUAGGAUAAAGCCCUGCACUGUAGCUUAUUUAUUAACAACAUAAAAAGACACUGCCUAUAGAAAACAGAAUAAAUACACAUAAUUUCCCCA